Molecule: ribosomal RNA, 246 nt
Filed under: uncultured bacterium
Lineage: Bacteria
Description: partial 16S ribosomal RNA
Rfam family: Bacterial small subunit ribosomal RNA
Source: RNAcentral
CCUAGCCCUUCAGAGGGGGACAACAGUUGGAAACGACUGCUAAUACCGCAUACGAUCUAAUCUCGGCAUCGAGGAUAGAUGAAAGGUGGCCUCUACAUGUAAGCUAUCACUGAAGGAGGGGAUUGCGUCUGAUUAGCUAGUUGGAGGGGUAACGGCCCACCAAGGCGAUGAUCAGUAGCCGGUCUGAGAGGAUGAACGGCCACAUUGGGACUGAGACACGGCCCAGACUCCUACGGGAGGCAGCUG